RNAcentral lists this ribosomal RNA (538 nucleotides) under uncultured Geobacteraceae bacterium. RNAcentral's name for it is "bacterial SSU rRNA". It matches the Rfam family "Bacterial small subunit ribosomal RNA", at positions 9 to 526 of the family's 1533-position model. Lineage: Bacteria; Pseudomonadati; Thermodesulfobacteriota; Desulfuromonadia; Geobacterales; Geobacteraceae. The record is from RNAcentral.
GAGUUUGAUCCUGGCUCAGAACGAACGCUGGCGGCGUGCCUAACACAUGCAAGUCGAACGUGAUCCAGAGCUUGCUCUGGUGAAAGUGGCGCACGGGUGAGUAACGCGUAGAUAAUCUGCCUGACGAUCUGGGAUAACACUUCGAAAGAGGUGCUAAUACCGGAUAAGCCCACGGAGUCUUUGGAUUCUGCGGGAAAAGGGGGGGACCUUUUGGCCUUCUGUCGUCAGAUGAGCCUGCGUACCAUCAGCUAGUUGGUAGGGUAAAGGCCUACCAAGGCUACGAUGGUUAGCUGGUCUGAGAGGAUGAUCAGCCACACUGGAACUGAGGCACGGUCCAGACUCCCACGGGAGGCAGCAGUGGGGAAUUUUGCGCAAUGGGCGAAAGCCUGACGCAGCAACGCCGCGUGAGUGAUGAAGGCUUUCGGGUCGUAAAGCUCUGUCGAGGGGAAAGAAGUGUAUUGAGGCUAAUAUCCUUGAUACUUGACGGUACCCCUAAAGGAAGCACCGGCUAACUCCGUACCAGCAGCCGCGGUAAUAC